This 837-nucleotide ribosomal RNA is filed under the name Triticum aestivum (bread wheat). Its description in RNAcentral is "partial small subunit ribosomal RNA". Lineage: Eukaryota; Viridiplantae; Streptophyta; Magnoliopsida; Poales; Poaceae. The record is from RNAcentral.
AUGAUAACAAUCUCCGACUGCCCGAUAUGUGCCACGGAUUGUGAGAGUAUUCGUCAUUCUUUCUUUAGAUGCAACAGAGUGCAAGAGAUUUGGGCAAAAUUGGGCUUGCUUCCCACUGUAAGUGAGCUGUGCGAAACUGAGAUGGAGGGAUCUUCGGUCCUUGGUGACCUGUUGUUAAUGCCAAGUGUUGAUGUUCCGUCGCUCCCGGGUGUGCCCAUGAAGGAGCUGGUGGCUGUGGCGGUUUGGUAUAUAUGGUGGGAACGAUGAAGAUUCACCCAUGGUGAGCCCAUCCAAGAACCUAGAAGAUCGGCCCAAGCCAUUGUUACUUUGACCAAAAAUUUCUUGAGGGCAAGGAAGCAUGGUGCGGGCAGGAUACGAAGACAUGGAUGGACGAGACCAACAGAGGGAUUUGUUAGCCUCAAUAUCGACGCCUCUUUUGAUGCUGACAAUGGCACCGCAUCCAUGAGCAACAUCCCGUUUGUCCAAGACGCAGCGACAGCUGAGGCACGGGGCCUCAAGGAUGGGCUGGUUCUGGCAAACACCAUCGGCUGCAACAAGGUGGAGAUCAGGACGGAUUGUAUGGAGGUCAUCCAGAUAAUGCAAGACGGAGGCAAUUCCUUAGGACCAGCUGCAGCCAUCUAUGAGGAGUGUACUUUCUUGUGUCGUAAUUUUAUCUCUGUUAGUUUCUGUCAUUGCCCUAGGGAAGCUAAUAUGGCGGCUGAUCUUUUGGCUACUAAGUCGGAGCCCUCGCGAACUAUUGUGUGGCAGAACGAGGCUCCAGACUUUCUGCUCGAUGUAAUCACAAAUGAUGUAGCCCUAUUUUCACAUGAAAUAUAA